AGCGAACGCUGGCGGCAGGCUUAACACAUGCAAGUCGAGCGCCGUAGCAAUACGGAGCGGCAGACGGGUGAGUAACACGUGGGAACGUACCCUUUAGUUCGGAACAACCAAGGGAAACUUUGGCUAAUACCGGAUAAGCCCUUACGGGGAAAGAUUUAUCGCUAAAGGAUCGGCCCGCGUCUGAUUAGCUAGUUGGUGGGGUAAUGGCCCACCAAGGCGACGAUCAGUAGCUGGUCUGAGAGGAUGAUCAGCCACACUGGGACUGAGACACGGCCCAGACUCCUACGGGAGGCAGCAGUGGGGAAUAUUGGACAAUGGGGGCAACCCUGAUCCAGCCAUGCCGCGUGAGUGAUGAAGGCCUUAGGGUUGUAAAGCUCUUUCGUUGGGGAAGAUAAUGACGGUACCCAAAGAAGAAGCCCCGGCUAACUUCGUGCCAGCAGCCGCCGCGUAAAAC
This 454-nucleotide ribosomal RNA is filed under the name uncultured bacterium. RNAcentral describes it as "bacterial SSU rRNA". It matches the Rfam family "Bacterial small subunit ribosomal RNA", at positions 29 to 526 of the family's 1533-position model. The record is from RNAcentral.